GAUGAACGCUGGCGGCGUGCCUAAUACAUGCAAGUCGAGCGAACAGAUAAGGAGCUUGCUCCUUUGACGUUUGCGGCGGACGGGUGAGUAACACGUGGGUACCCUCCCUAUAAGACUGGUAUAAUUCCGUGAAACCGGGGCUUAUGCCGUAUAACAUUUAGAACCGCAUGGUUCUAAAGUGAAAGAUGGUUUUGCUAUCACUUAUAGAUGGACCCGCGCCGUAUUAGCUAGUUGGUAAGGUAACGGCUUACCAAGGCAACGAUACGUAGCCGAGCUGAGAGGGUGAUCGGCCACACUGGAACUGAGACACGGUCCAGACGACUAAGGGAGGCAGCAGUAGGGAAUCGGACGCAAUGGGCGAAAGCAUGACGGAGCAACGCCGCGUGAGUGAUGAAGGUCUUCGGAUCGUAAAACUCUGUUAUUAGGGAAGAACAAAUGUGUAAGUAACUGUGCACGUCUUGACGGUACCUAAUCAGAAAGCAACGGCUAACUACGUG
RNAcentral lists this ribosomal RNA (497 nucleotides) under uncultured bacterium. RNAcentral's name for it is "partial 16S ribosomal RNA". It matches the Rfam family "Bacterial small subunit ribosomal RNA", at positions 28 to 507 of the family's 1533-position model. The record is from RNAcentral.